GAGAUUUUACUUUUUUUUUUUAUUAUUACCAAGGAUUAAAGGUUACAAAUCAAAUGGGUAUAUAUACAUCAUAGGGCCUAGAAGCUCAAAAAAAAUAAGAAACUAGCAAAGGUCCAAAGAAACAGGGUUUUAGCCCAUUACAUAAUCAAACCCUAAAACUCAAUAAGGACCCGACUCAAAGCUUCAAUCCGGUCACGGGAUUCGGUUCCACAAACCGACAUCGCCAGUACCACGAACCCAUAAUGCCGUCAGCAACCUAUGAUCUCUCGGAACUGCAAUACUCAUCACCAAAAAACCAUCACGAUGCAUAUCUAGGAGCGGGGAACAAUAUGCAUGACUAGAAAAAUAUCACGACAGAAACAAGCAAGCCAAGAGAAGAUCCACACUUGAGACAGAAACCCAAAUUAAAAAGGAGCAGAGUCGCUACUAGAAACCAUCAUCAAACUUCAACAAGCCCAGAAUCACAGAAGUCGAAAUCCAAUUAGGCUUAGCAUACCCUUGGCUUCUACUUAUAGUCGUUAAGGAAUCGAUGCCUUCCCAAUGGCAGCGGUCCCCGAGAUACAUUCUCUGCUCCCUUUAAAACCUCCUAAGCAUAGAAAACCGUAGCCAUGGCCGAACUGGGAAGGAGAAUUUCGGCAUGGAGAAGAGCAAAGGACAUGUAGGCACUAAUCAAAUACCCUCACUUUUAGCAUAAAUCUGCAAAGAAAAAAAAAAAAACAAAAUUGUAUACAUCAAUCCAACAUGGGGCAAGGUAGAACCCACAAUGGGCUGAAGAGAGGACCUUUUCUGCUCUUUAGGGAAGGGGAGGCCGACGAGCGGCAAAGAUAAAUCCUAAAAAGCGGAGAAAAUGACGAAGAAGGAGGGAGAGUUGCUCAAGUCACAAGAGUAUAGAGGCUACUUUACUAAUUUUUUACACCAUAGAGAAAUGAAAGACUAAAUAAGUCUACUCUAUGCUAGAUUGUGCCAUGCAAAUUAAUAGUUAUUAAGGAUUCCAUGAACCUCACCAUUGAUCAAACCAGAUAACAGAAAUCUCAACCCAUGAGAUGUAAAGAUUUGAUCAACACUCUUGAUCCUAUCAAAGUAAACAGACGGCAGAGAAGCCCGGUCUUCCUUAAGACUUGGUAUUGGAUGCAAAUCUGACCGUGAUUAGGAAAGUCUCACUUUACUUCAAUAU
Molecule: long non-coding RNA, 1174 nt
Filed under: Manihot esculenta (cassava)
Lineage: Eukaryota; Viridiplantae; Streptophyta; Magnoliopsida; Malpighiales; Euphorbiaceae
Description: long non-coding RNA (MESC_LNC008478)
Source: RNAcentral